RNAcentral lists this ribosomal RNA (530 nucleotides) under Alternaria arborescens. Its description in RNAcentral is "eukaryotic LSU rRNA". The stretch from base 155 to 308 matches the Rfam family "5.8S ribosomal RNA". Lineage: Eukaryota; Fungi; Ascomycota; Dothideomycetes; Pleosporales; Pleosporaceae. The record is from RNAcentral.
GGCGCGUCUGGACCUGGAGGAGGAUACCGCCUUGCUGAGUUAUUCACCCUUGUCUUUAGGAUACUUCUUGUUUCCUUGGGGGGUUCGCCCACCACUAAGACAAACAUAAACCUUUUGUAAUUGCAAUCAGCGUCAGUAACAAAUUAAUAAUUACAACUUUCAACAACGGAUCUCUUGGUUCUGGCAUCGAUGAAGAACGCAGCGAAAUGCGAUAAGUAGUGUGAAUUGCAGAAUUCAGUGAAUCAUCGAAUCUUUGAACGCACAUUGCGCCCUUUGGUAUUCCAAAGGGCAUGCCUGUUCGAGCGUCAUUUGUACCCUCAAGCUUUGCUUGGUGUUGGGCGUCUUGUCUCUAGCUUUGCUGGAGACUCGCCUUAAAGUAAUUGGCAGCCGGCCUACUGGUUUCGGAGCGCAGCACAAGUCGCACUCUCUAUCAGCAAAGGUCUAGCAUCCAUUAAGCCUUUUUUUCAACUUUUGACCUCGGAUCAGGUAGGGAUACCCGCUGAACUUAAGCAUAUCAAUAAGCGGAGGAA